This 384-nucleotide ribosomal RNA is filed under the name uncultured bacterium. Its description in RNAcentral is "bacterial SSU rRNA". It matches the Rfam family "Bacterial small subunit ribosomal RNA", at positions 29 to 410 of the family's 1533-position model. The record is from RNAcentral.
AGUGAACGCUGGCGGCAGGCCUAACACAUGCAAGUCGAACGGCAGCACAGUGGAGCUUGCUCCAUGGGUGGCGAGUGGCGGACGGGUGAGGAAUACAUCGGAAUCUGCCCAGUCGUGGGGAUAACAUAGGGAAACUUAUGCUAAUACCGCAUACGACCUACGGGUGAAAGCGGGGAUCGCAAGACCUCGCGCGAUUGGAUGAGCCGAUGUCCGAUUAGCUAGUUGGCGGGGUAAUGGCCCACCAAGGCGACGAUCGGUAGCUGGUCUGAGAGGAUGAUCAGCCACACUGGAACUGAGACACGGUCCAGACUCCUACGGGAGGCAGCAGUGGGGAAUAUUGGACAAUGGGCGCAAGCCUGAUCCAGCUAUGCCGCGUGGGUGAAG